AGUGAACGCUGGCGGCGUGCCUAAUACAUGCAAGUCGAACGGACAAGUAAGAGCUUGCUCUUAUGAGUUAGUGGCGCACGGGUGAGUAAUGUAUAGCUAAUCUGCCCUACACUAGAGGACAACAGUUGGAAACGACUGCUAAUACUCUAUACUCCUGUCUUACAUAAGUUAGAUAGGGAAAGUUUUUCGGUGUAGGAUGAGGCUAUAUUGUAUCAGCUAGUUGGUGAGGUAAUGGCUCACCAAGGCUAUGACGCAUAACUGGUCUGAGAGGAUGAUCAGUCACACUGGAACUGAGACACGGUCCAGACUCCUACGGGAGGCAGCAGUAGGGAAUAUUGCUCAAUGGGGGAAACCCUGAAGCAGCAACGCCGCGUGGAGGAUGACACUUUUCGGAGCGUAAACUCCUUUUGUUAGGGAAGAACAAUGACGGUACCUAACGAAUAAGCACCGGCUAACUCCGUGCCAGCAGCCGCAGUAAUACGGAGGGUGCAAGCGUUACUCGGAAUCACUGGGCGUAAAGGACGCGUAAGCGGAUUAUCAAGUCUCUUGUGAAAUCCUAUGGCUUAACCAUAGAACUGCUUGGGAAACUGAUAAUCUAGAGUGAGGGAGAGGCAGAUGGAAUUGGUGGUGUAGGGUAAAAUCCGUAGAGAUCACCAGAAUACUCAUUGCGAAGCGAUCUGCUGGAACUCAACUGACGCUAAUGCGUGAGAGCGUGCGGAGCAAACAGGAUGAGAUACCCUGGUAGUUCCACGUCGAACUUCACCAGUGGAUAUCAUGCUUAUCAUACUGUCGACUUCGAAGGGAGGCUCCUGGUAUCCAGCUUAUCGUCCGUAGUGUACGGUAACCUAACUUUGUUCCAUAGGGGAGGUUACUUACCGACCUACGCUAGGCUGCCGUCGUG
This 901-nucleotide ribosomal RNA is filed under the name uncultured Parvimonas sp. Its description in RNAcentral is "bacterial SSU rRNA". The stretch from base 1 to 781 matches the Rfam family "Bacterial small subunit ribosomal RNA". The record is from RNAcentral. Lineage: Bacteria; Bacillati; Bacillota; Tissierellia; Tissierellales; Peptoniphilaceae.